UAUUUAUAGAUAUUUUAAUAAUCUAAUUAUUGUAUUUACCUUUUGCAUCAUGAUCUAGUGAUUAUUUUCAAUUAUUUGUAAUUCCGAAACGGGUGGGAUACUAUUAAUUUCUUCUAUUGUGUGAAUAGAUUCAAAUUUUCUUAAGUGGUGAUAAAUAAGUCGUCCUCCGUUAUAGCUGAUUUGAAAAUUAUUAAUAUAUUAAAGGUAGCGCCUUAGAUGACGCUUUCUCUUUUGUAAGAAUGUUAUUUAUUCUAUAGGUUGGUUUAAAGGUUUCCUUCCUAUUGGUGUGUUAUAACACUAAAAUUUUAUACUUUUCUUCUAUUAUUAUUUUCAUUAUUUAAAAUUAUAUUGGCAUAAUUAUGUUAGAAUAAGUAAUAAAAAAAUCUAAAGCUUUCUCGAACUAAUUGGGUAUGUUUAUCAAAAACAUUUCUACAAUUUAAUUUUUGUAGUAUAGUCUGCUCAGUGCUUUAGUAAAUAGCCGCAGUAUUUUGACUGUGCUAAGGUAGCAUAAUUAAUUGCCUCUUAAAUAGGGGAUUGUUUGAAUGGCUUGACCUGUUUAGUAUUUAGCUUUUUUUUACGGAAAUUAGCUUGUCGGCACAGAGCCCGACAAAAUUCUACAAGACGGAAAGACCCUGAAAUCUUAAUUUAAAAAAUUUUACUUGGGGCAAGGCCAAGUAUUUUACUUGGUUUAGGAUCCUUUGGGUUUGCAGGUCUUAAGUUACUUCAGGGAUAACUGGGUUAUAAGGGGUUAGAGUCCUUAUCGAACCUCUUAUUUGCCACCUCGAUGUUGACUUGAAAUUACCUUACUGGCGCAGCAGCUAGUUAAGGAGGCCUGUUCGGCCUUUAAAUUUUCAACGAGUUGAGUUAAAACCGGCGUGAGCCAGGUUGGCUCUUAUCUGUAUUUGGUUUCUUCUAGUACGAAAGGAUUGAAGAAGUUUUUAUU
Molecule: ribosomal RNA, 943 nt
Filed under: Capsala pricei
Lineage: Eukaryota; Metazoa; Platyhelminthes; Monogenea; Capsalidea; Capsalidae
Description: 16S ribosomal RNA
Rfam family: Bacterial large subunit ribosomal RNA (bases 590-943)
Source: RNAcentral